UGGGGAAUAUUGCACAAUGGGGGAAACCCUGAUGCAGCGACGCCGCGUGAGCGAAGAAGUAUUUCGGUAUGUAAAGCUCUAUCAGCAGGGAAGAAAAAUGACGGUACCUGACUAAGAAGCCCCGGCUAACUACGUGCCAGCAGCCGCGGUAAUACGUAGGGGGCGAGCGUUAUCCGGAUUUACUGGGUGUAAAGGGAGCGUAGACGGCUGGUCAAGUCUGAAGUGAAAGCCCGGGGCUUAACCCCGGAACGGCUUUGGAAACUGAGCAGCUAGAGUGCUGGAGAGGUAAGCGGAAUUCCUAGUGUAGCGGUGAAAUGCGUAGAUAUUAGGAGGAACACCAGUGGCGAAGGCGGCUUACUGGACAGCAACUGACGUUGAGGCUCGAAAGCGUGGGGAGCAAACAGG
This 405-nucleotide ribosomal RNA is filed under the name uncultured bacterium. RNAcentral describes it as "bacterial SSU rRNA". It matches the Rfam family "Bacterial small subunit ribosomal RNA", at positions 355 to 776 of the family's 1533-position model. The record is from RNAcentral.